This 2903-nucleotide ribosomal RNA is filed under the name Escherichia coli B95. RNAcentral describes it as "bacterial LSU rRNA". It matches the Rfam family "Bacterial large subunit ribosomal RNA". Lineage: Bacteria; Pseudomonadati; Pseudomonadota; Gammaproteobacteria; Enterobacterales; Enterobacteriaceae. The record is from RNAcentral.
UUAAGCGACUAAGCGUACACGGUGGAUGCCCUGGCAGUCAGAGGCGAUGAAGGACGUGCUAAUCUGCGAUAAGCGUCGGUAAGGUGAUAUGAACCGUUAUAACCGGCGAUUUCCGAAUGGGGAAACCCAGUGUGAUUCGUCACACUAUCAUUAACUGAAUCCAUAGGUUAAUGAGGCGAACCGGGGGAACUGAAACAUCUAAGUACCCCGAGGAAAAGAAAUCAACCGAGAUUCCCCCAGUAGCGGCGAGCGAACGGGGAGGAGCCCAGAGCCUGAAUCAGUGUGUGUGUUAGUGGAAGCGUCUGGAAAGGCGCGCGAUACAGGGUGACAGCCCCGUACACAAAAAUGCACAUGCUGUGAGCUCGAUGAGUAGGGCGGGACACGUGGUAUCCUGUCUGAAUAUGGGGGGACCAUCCUCCAAGGCUAAAUACUCCUGACUGACCGAUAGUGAACCAGUACCGUGAGGGAAAGGCGAAAAGAACCCCGGCGAGGGGAGUGAAAAAGAACCUGAAACCGUGUACGUACAAGCAGUGGGAGCACAGAGCAAUCUGUGUGACUGCGUACCUUUUGUAUAAUGGGUCAGCGACUUAUAUUCUGUAGCAAGGUUAACCGAAUAGGGGAGCCGAAGGGAAACCGAGUCUUAACUGGGCGUUAAGUUGCAGGGUAUAGACCCGAAACCCGGUGAUCUAGCCAUGGGCAGGUUGAAGGUUGGGUAACACUAACUGGAGGACCGAACCGACUAAUGUUGAAAAAUUAGCGGAUGACUUGUGGCUGGGGGUGAAAGGCCAAUCAAACCGGGAGAUAGCUGGUUCUCCCCGAAAGCUAUUUAGGUAGCGCCUCGUGAAUUCAUCUCCGGGGGUAGAGCACUGUUUCGGCAAGGGGGUCAUCCCGACUUACCAACCCGAUGCAAACUGCGAAUACCGGAGAAUGUUAUCACGGGAGACACACGGCGGGUGCUAACGUCCGUCGUGAAGAGGGAAACAACCCAGACCGCCAGCUAAGGUCCCAAAGUCAUGGUUAAGUGGGAAACGAUGUGGGAAGGCCCAGACAGCCAUGAUGUUGGCUUAGAAGCAGCCAUCAUUUAAAGAAAGCGUAAUAGCUCACUGGUCGAGUCGGCCUGCGCGGAAGAUGUAACGGGGCUAAACCAUGCACCGAAGCUGCGGCAGCGACACUGUGUGUUGUUGGGUAGGGGAGCGUUCUGUAAGCCUGUGAAGGUGUGCUGUGAGGCAUGCUGGAGGUAUCAGAAGUGCGAAUGCUGACAUAAGUAACGAUAAAGCGGGUGAAAAGCCCGCUCGCCGGAAGACCAAGGGUUCCUGUCCAACGUUAAUCGGGGCAGGGUGAGUCGACCCCUAAGGCGAGGCCGAAAGGCGUAGUCGAUGGGAAACAGGUUAAUAUUCCUGUACUUGGUGUUACUGCGAAGGGGGGACGGAGAAGGCUAUGUUGGCCGGGCGACGGUUGUCCCGGUUUAAGCGUGUAGGCUGGUUUUCCAGGCAAAUCCGGAAAAUCAAGGCUGAGGCGUGAUGACGAGGCACUACGGUGCUGAAGCAACAAAUGCCCUGCUUCCAGGAAAAGCCUCUAAGCAUCAGGUAACAUCAAAUCGUACCCCAAACCGACACAGGUGGUCAGGUAGAGAAUACCAAGGCGCUUGAGAGAACUCGGGUGAAGGAACUAGGCAAAAUGGUGCCGUAACUUCGGGAGAAGGCACGCUGAUAUGUAGGUGAAGUCCCUCGCGGAUGGAGCUGAAAUCAGUCGAAGAUACCAGCUGGCUGCAACUGUUUAUUAAAAACACAGCACUGUGCAAACACGAAAGUGGACGUAUACGGUGUGACGCCUGCCCGGUGCCGGAAGGUUAAUUGAUGGGGUCAGCGCAAGCGAAGCUCUUGAUCGAAGCCCCGGUAAACGGCGGCCGUAACUAUAACGGUCCUAAGGUAGCGAAAUUCCUUGUCGGGUAAGUUCCGACCUGCACGAAUGGCGUAAUGAUGGCCAGGCUGUCUCCACCCGAGACUCAGUGAAAUUGAACUCGCUGUGAAGAUGCAGUGUACCCGCGGCAAGACGGAAAGACCCCGUGAACCUUUACUAUAGCUUGACACUGAACAUUGAGCCUUGAUGUGUAGGAUAGGUGGGAGGCUUUGAAGUGUGGACGCCAGUCUGCAUGGAGCCGACCUUGAAAUACCACCCUUUAAUGUUUGAUGUUCUAACAUGGACCCGUGAUCCGGGUUGCGGACAGUGUCUGGUGGGUAGUUUGACUGGGGCGGUCUCCUCCUAAAGAGUAACGGAGGAGCACGAAGGUUGGCUAAUCCUGGUCGGACAUCAGGAGGUUAGUGCAAUGGCAUAAGCCAGCUUGACUGCGAGCGUGACGGCGCGAGCAGGUGCGAAAGCAGGUCAUAGUGAUCCGGUGGUUCUGAAUGGAAGGGCCAUCGCUCAACGGAUAAAAGGUACUCCGGGGAUAACAGGCUGAUACCGCCCAAGAGUUCAUAUCGACGGCGGUGUUUGGCACCUCGAUGUCGGCUCAUCACAUCCUGGGGCUGAAGUAGGUCCCAAGGGUAUGGCUGUUCGCCAUUUAAAGUGGUACGCGAGCUGGGUUUAGAACGUCGUGAGACAGUUCGGUCCCUAUCUGCCGUGGGCGCUGGAGAACUGAGGGGGGCUGCUCCUAGUACGAGAGGACCGGAGUGGACGCAUCACUGGUGUUCGGGUUGUCAUGCCAAUGGCACUGCCCGGUAGCUAAAUGCGGAAGAGAUAAGUGCUGAAAGCAUCUAAGCACGAAACUUGCCCCGAGAUGAGUUCUCCCUGACCCUUUAAGGGUCCUGAAGGAACGUUGAAGACGACGACGUUGAUAGGCCGGGUGUGUAAGCGCAGCGAUGCGUUGAGCUAACCGGUACUAAUGAACCGUGAGGCUUAACCUU